UACAGGGGGCGCAAACGUUGCUCGGAAUUAUUGGGCGUAAAGCGCGCGUAGGCGGCUACUUAAGUCGGAUGUGAAAGCCCUUGGCUCAACUGAGGAAGUGCACCCGAAACUGAGUGGCUUGAGUACGAAAGAGGGUCGCGGAAUUCCUGGUGUAGAGGUGAAAUUCGUAGAUAUCAGGAGGAGCAUCGGCGGCGAAGGCGGCUACCUGGUCCACAACUGACGUUCAGGUACGAAAGCGUGGGGAGCAAACAGG
RNAcentral lists this ribosomal RNA (253 nucleotides) under uncultured bacterium. RNAcentral's name for it is "partial 16S ribosomal RNA". It matches the Rfam family "Bacterial small subunit ribosomal RNA", at positions 524 to 776 of the family's 1533-position model. The record is from RNAcentral.